AAACUCGGUGGAAAAUAAAUAUGGUUAAACGACAUAGACACAAAAACAAUGGUAAUGAGAGUAACGUGAGUAUUAGUUCGAUAAGCAUGCAUAUGUAGCAAUAGCAAGUGCUUAACACGUGCUAGCAAAUUAUGUGAAUUGACAUGACAAAAAAUUCACGUCAAUUGAUGAAUGCGUAAGGAUCACCAGAAAUCGCGUGAAUACACACCAAGACUUGCUUAAGCAGCA
Non-coding RNA from Schizosaccharomyces pombe (fission yeast), 228 nucleotides. Lineage: Eukaryota; Fungi; Ascomycota; Schizosaccharomycetes; Schizosaccharomycetales; Schizosaccharomycetaceae. The record is from the annotation of a GenBank genome assembly.